GACGAACGCUGGCGGCGUGCUUAACACAUGCAAGUCGAACGGAAAGGCCCUGCUUGCAGGGUACUCGAGUGGCGAACGGGUGAGUAACACGUGGGUGAUCUGCCCUGCACUUCGGGAUAAGCCUGGGAAACUGGGUCUACUACCGGAUAUGACCUUCCAUGUAGUGUGGGGGGUGGAAAGAUUUAUCGGUGUGGGAUGAGCCCGCGGCCUAUCAGCUUGUUGGUGGGGUAAUGGCCUACCAAGGCGUCGACGGGUAGCCGGCCUGAGAGGGUGGACGGCCACAUUGGGACUGAGAUACGGCCCAGACUCCUACGGGAGGCAGCAGUGGGGAAUAUUGCACAAUGGGCGGAAGCCUUAUGCAGCGACGCCGCGUGGGGGAUGACGGCCUUCGGGUUGUAAACCUCUUUCGACAGGGACGAAGCUUCGGUGACGGUACCUGUAUAAGAAGCACCGGCUAACUACGUG
RNAcentral lists this ribosomal RNA (465 nucleotides) under uncultured bacterium. RNAcentral describes it as "partial 16S ribosomal RNA". It matches the Rfam family "Bacterial small subunit ribosomal RNA", at positions 28 to 507 of the family's 1533-position model. The record is from RNAcentral.